GAUGAACGCUGACAGAAUGCUUAACACAUGCAAGUCUUUCGCGAAGCUGUUCUUGCACUGCCUAGCCAAGGCGGACGGGUGAGUAACGCGUAAGGAACAUGCCCUGCAGUCAGGGAUAAUAGACGGAAACGACUGAUAAGACCUGGUAAAGUCAGCCGGACUCAUGUCCAGCCUGAUGAAAAGAGAUGCUGCAGGAGAGUCUUGCGUCCUAUUAGCUUGUUGGUGGGGUAACGGCCCACCAAGGCGAUGAUAGGUAGCCGGCCUGAGGGGGGGGACGGCCACAAGGCGUCUGAGAUACGGCCGUUACUCCUGCGGGAGACAGGAGGGGAGAAUAUUGGACAAUGGGGGCAACCCUGAUCGAGCAAUUCUGUGUGCACGAUGAAGGUUUUCGGAGUGAAAAGUGCUUUCAGCAGGGAAGAAAAAAAUGACGGUACCUGCAGAAGAAGCGACGGCUAAAUACGUG
Molecule: ribosomal RNA, 463 nt
Filed under: uncultured bacterium
Lineage: Bacteria
Description: partial 16S ribosomal RNA
Rfam family: Bacterial small subunit ribosomal RNA
Source: RNAcentral